GACGCGUGGCGGGUGGUAGGUGAGGUCCGCCGGAGCCGUUUACGGGCGCAGCACACCGCGAGCCGAGAAUCCGAGGAGGAUGAUUUAUGCAGCCUGGAUGUUUCGGUCGCCCAGAACAUGGUUCCGGGCGCCCAGAAAUCCCCAUUUCAACAGGGACACCGGAUUGCAGCUAUUUCUCUUGGGGCUUAUUUUAUCCCUCCAGCACCCUAUAAAUACCUGGUAUACGUCCCCUUUGAGCUCUUUUAACCUGUUCUUCACAGAGAACUUAGAUUUUGCUCCUUAAUCCCUCCAAUCUUUCCAAAUUGCAUCAAGAUCCACAUCUCCAAGAGUUGCAAAGUGCUGAUUCUGUAGUUUUCCCAGCCACGACCUUCAGUGUUUUGGCUCAUGCGCGACGUAGGGAUAUCGGAUUUCGACGAAACUUGGUUUGCUAGAUUCCAGACUUUCAGAGGAAUCCACGAAGCCCUGACUUGCAGAAUUUGGUGAAGGUUAGCUCAGUCGAACUCAGGUUUUCCUCUGCUGCUGUUGAUAUGGACAGAAUUGCAAGUUUUUGAGUUUUCUUGGGGUGAACUUUGGAAGCAGGGGCUUUGUGGAGUUGAGUCACAUCCCCUACCAACUAGUACUGGAAUUGGGACCAUCUUCACCUAAUUUGGAGAUUGUUAGGUGAGUUUUGACAUUGGAAUUGGAUAAAUCGUAAGCUUAAGUACUGAAAUUGACGAAUUGUAAUGGAUUUUGGGUGAAUUGUAAUGUCCAGGUUUUGAGGGGAUUGUUGCUGGUUUGGAGGUGUUUCCAGCUAUGCUACUUGUGAUCCGAGACCGUGUUGCUGCCAGAGGAAUCGCGCUUGAGGUGGGUUUGCAUCAGAUUACUCCUAAGUAAUGAGUAGAUGUUUAGUCGACAUGUAUGUUUUGUUGUUCGGUUUACAAUGUGAUUAGAUUAAAUUCAGUGAUAAGCUGUGGCUGUAACCUAAAUUUAAGCAUACUAAAUAAGUGACAUUUACACAUGUCGGACUUGAAAAAUUGACUUAGGAGAAAACCUGCGUUUUGACCCGUCAUAUGCUUAAACUACCAGAUUUAGCUCUAGGAGCCGUGGGUUGACUGUAUCGUUGCAAUAUCAAUGCGAUGGAUACCUGGGGUAGUUUAGAAGGCAUUUACGCUCGUGCUGGGGUGCCGAGCUUAUUUUUCAGCAGAGUCUAGGCUGUUUCGGAUCGUUGGGUGCCGUCCGGGUUGGCGGACCCAGAUUCUUGUUUUGGUUCCAGAUUGUGCCGAGGGCACGUGGGUUUGGUUUGUAGACCUGUUUUGACCCUGUUUACAUGACUUUGGCUAGUUGGAGUCUGAUUGAGCUCGACAGAGAUACGCUGCAUACUCGAUUGGGUAGCUCCCACGAGUGCCACUCCGGAGACGGGCGCUGUGCUUUCGCGUUGAUAUCGCUCAUACCGGUUGGACUUGCUCUCCACGGACUAGUAGUGUGGAGGUAGCUGGACAGUCACAACUGGGCAGGGACGGGGGUGUUCAUAGUCCCAGGGACGGGUAUGCUUACAGUUCCUAUUGGAUUGAGUCAGAUUUGACAUUUCCUACAGUUGGUUAGUGUAGAGCAUGAUAGUAUAGUGAUCCAUAGCGGUAGAUUUCAUUUCUGCAUUUACUACUAUCUUUGCUCCCUUCUGUAGACUUAGUGGGUGGACCGAUGUUGUUGAGGGCGGCACCCACUGAGGACUACCUGUUUUUACAGUAGUUCUCACGCCCUGUUAUUACAGUAGUUCUCACGCCAGUGCGAGUAGCUCUGUAUUUUCGGUAUUGAACUAUGUAUAUGGAACUCCGUUUGUUUAGCUUCUGUUUACUCUAGCAGCUCUAUACUACUGUUUGUAGUAUUGUAUGGUUUACAGGUACUGCUAUCGCUUCGUAUACAGGGGAAAUUCCUUUGUAUACGGCGGAUUUGUCGGCGUGCCCGGGGACGUGUAAUCCGGAGCGUGACAGAUUAAAUUAGUAUCAGAGCUUAGCACUAGGUCGUUGGGACCUAGAAAAUCUAAGUUUGGCAAACCUUAGGAAGGUAAGAUGCGAGAGGCGUAAUUUAUUGCGAAAGUCAAUGAUUAAUUGUUCUAACUCCUUUCAGAGUGGGGUGAGUGAUUGAAGGAGUUCCUGUUUUGCCCUGAGCAAUUAUGUUGGCUGCAGACAACAUAAUUUUGGAGGAAAACAGGGACCGCCUUCCAGACUUUCGUUGAUUGGGUCGAGAGUGUUUAUGUUUCAUCUGACCCCGAUCUGUUCUUUUCAGCUAUGUAUCGUCGCCGAGGUCGACCGUCGUUACGGGAGCGUGCCCAGUUGUCGCAGGAUCGUGCGGGACCUUCCGAGAUGCUCGAGCAUGCGGAGCCGAGUACCCAGCGGGAGCAGAGUGUUCGACCAGAGACGAGUACAUCUCCGGACUUGAGUGCACAGUUAGCCGCCCUGACAGAGGUGACGAGGCGGCAGGAGGAGUUGUUAGAAAGGAUGGGCGAGAGGCUAGCUUCACUCUAGAGUUCAGCACCGAGGGCACCAGAGUCGUCUGUUCCACCUCCUAUUACUCCAGUGACAGCACCAGUUGCAGCAGUACCUCCGCCAGCAGCCGUUCUAGUAGCGCCAGUUGCGCCUGCUGGGGGGCCAGUACAGUUGACAGAGGCAGAGCAGGAGCGGUGGACGGAGAGGUUGGCUCGUUUUCGCCGUUUGAUCCACCGAUUUUCGAUGGCAGUUGCACUGAGGCCUGGGUUGUUGAGGGAUGGGUCAGUGCGAUGGAGAAGUUAUUUGAGGAUCUGUUCAUUCCUGAGGGGGAGCAGGUGUCUUUGGGAGUCCAUUGCUUGGCAGGUGAUGCCCACGCUUGGUGGAGGAGAGUGAGGAGAGAGCAGGGACUAGUAGUGUUGCAGCUGAGAUGGGAUGAGUUCUGUGGAAUGCUGUUUGGGAUAUUCUUUCCCAACAGUGUGAAACAGAAGCUCGAGGAGGAUUUGAAGAGGAUCCAGCAGGGGGAUCGUCCAGUGCAGGAGUACAUUCGGGAGUUUACUCGACUCCUGAAUGUGUGCCAUUUGUGGCCAGGGACGAGGCACACAGGGUUUAUCUGUUUGAGCAGGGGCUGAGACCCGACAUCUUCAGGUUGGCGCGGACGCAGAGGUCGAGGACUCUGGAUGCGUCCAUAGAGCAGGCCUUAUAGGUGGAGAGAGGUGAGGUGUCGCUACAGGAGAGGACUCAGGCCGUGGGGCAGAGUCAGGAUAGGAAGCGCCCCUUUUCAGAUGAUGCUGGACAGUCGAGCAGCAGGCGUCCGCCGAGGCCUCCACGAUCACGCUCUCAGGGUCGUGGGUUUUCGGGGCGUCAUCGUUCCAGGGGAUCCCGUCCGCAGGGGCAGACUCAGAGGACACCGCAGUGUGUGAUCUGCGGGGGACUACACUGGCCCUGGUAGUGAGAGCAGAGAGAAGGCCGUUGCUAUUCUUGCGGUCAGCCCGGGCAUAUGAGGUCAGUUUGCCCCCGUGCAGCAUCACCAGCGUAAUCCACUGCAUCAGCGCAGCCGGCAUCUCAGCCGUCCUUUGGAGCAGCACCGGGUUUCCGCCAGGAAGAUAGAUCGUCUAUACCGCGUUAGGGGGAGCGACGACAGCAAGCUCCGAGUGGCAGGGUUUAUGCAGCUCAGGUAGUGGAUUCUUCAGCAGCCGACCGUGUGGUGGCAGGUAUCAUUUUGAUUUUAGGCAUUCGUACUCACACUCUUUUUGAUACCGGUGCCACGCAUUCUUUUGUUAGUCGAGCAUUUGCAUUGUUGCAUGGUCUAGAGUUAGGAGUAUUGUCACAGGCACGAAAGGUGCAGAUCCCGGACCAUGUUUUACAGGUUGCAAAGUGUUGUUGGUCGUGUCCGGUGCAGUUAGACUCGUGGAUCAUGCCCGCAGACCUGUUGGUGUUAUGGCAGCUGCAGGACUUCGACGUCAUGCUCGGUAUGGAUUGGCUGGCGCGGUACUAUGCUACUAUCGAUUUCCUCCGGAGUUGACGAUGAUGCCGCCGGAGAGGGAGAUAAAGUUUGUGAUUGAUGUGGUUCCUGGAACUGCACCAAUCUCAAAGGCACCUUAGAGGAUGGCACCGGCGGAGCUGAGAGAGCUAAAGGCGCAGCUUCAGGAUUUGAUGGAUAAGGGGUUUGUGAGACCCAGUGUGUCGCCUUGGGGAGCGCCGGUGUUGUUUGUAAAGAAGAAGGAUGGUUCGCUCAGAUUGUGUGUGGAUUACCGGGAGCUAAAUAAGGUGACCAUCAAGAAUAAGUAUCCUUUGCCGUGCAUUGAUGAUCUGUUUAAUCAGCUGCAAGGAUCUUAUGUCUUCUCGAAGAUUGACUUCCAGUCAGGUUACCACCAGUUAAGGGUGAGGGCCGAGGAUGUUUCCAAGACGGCUUUUCGGACUCGGUACGGGCAUUAUGAGUUUACGGUGAUGCCAUUUGGAUUGACGAAUGCCCCUGCCACAUUCAUGGAUUUGAUGAACAGAGUGUUCAAGCUGUUCUUGGACAGGUUUGUGGUAGUCUUCAUUGAUGAUAUCUGAUAUACUCCCGGAGUGAUGCCGAGCAUGAGGAGCACUUGAGGACUGUGCUAUAGCUUCUGAGAGAGAAUAAGUUGUAUGCCAAGUUAAAGAAGUGCGAGUUCUGGUUACGGGAGGUUGCUUUCUUGGGCCACGUGAUAUCAGCAGAGGGAGUAGCAGUUGACCCGAAGAAGAUUGAUGCUAUUCGGGAUUGGCCCAGACCGACGACGGUUACAGAGGUAAGGAGUUUCCUUGGGCUUGCUGGUUAUUACCGUCGGUUUGUGGAAGGCUUUGCGAAGCUUUCCACACCCCUCACUCGUUUAACGCAAAAUGAGAUUAGAUUCAUCUGGAGUGAGGAUUGCCAGAGGAGCUUUGAUGAGUUGAGACAGAGGUUGACGUCAGCUCUUAUCCUUACCCUUCCUAUGAUGGGGGAAGGAUUUGUGAUCUACAGUGAUGCAUCGCACAGUGGACUGGGUUGUGUGCUGAUGCAGCAUGGUAGGGUAAUUGCUUAUACUUCACGGCAGUUAAAGAAUUAUGAGAAGAAUUACCCUACACAUGACUUGGAGCUUGCCGCGGUAGUCUUUGCUUUAAAGUUGUGGCGGCAUUACUUGUACGGUGAGCACUGCGAGGUUUUUACUGAUCAUAAAAGUCUCAAGUAUCUGUUCACCCAAAAGGAGUUGAAUCUGAGGCAACGCCGGUGGUUGGAGUUGCUGAAGGACUAUGAUAUUAGUAUUCAGUAUCAUCCCGGCAAGGCAAAUGUAGUGGCAGAUGCGUUGAGCAGGAAGGUAGUGUAGAGCUGGAGCAUGUUGAUCACUCGGCAGAGACCGUUACUCGAGGAGCUGCGGCGGCUGAGGCUCGAGGUAGUGUCCCCAGAAUUUACUCCGAGACUGAUGUCUAUGAUCUUGCAGCCCACUCUGUUGUAUAGGAUUCGAGAGAAACAGAGUGGAGACCCGCACUUGUCGAGGAUUCGAGAGCAGCUUGAGAGGGGACAGGCCGAGGGCUUUGUUGUGGAUAGUUCGGGAGUACUGCGGUACAGGGACCGACUGUGUGUACCUAUGGAUUAGGAGAUCCGAGAGGACAUUUUGAGAGAGGCUCACUGUUCACCUUAUACGGUUCACCCCGGUGGAACCAAGAUGUAUAAGGAUUUAAAGGCUCAGUUUUGGUGGAAUGGAAUGAAGAGGGACAUUGGUAGAUUUGUGGCUCAGUGUCUGACUUGUCAAUAGGUAAAGGCCGAGCAUCAGGUACCUGCUGGCAAGCUUCAGAGUCUGGCAGUACCCGAGUGGAAAUGGGAGCAGAUUACGAUGGACUUUGUCGUCGGAUUGCCGAGAGCACAGGGUGGUUUUGAUGUGAUUUGGGUGAUAGUGGACAGACUGACCAAGUCUGCUCACUUCUUACCAGUGCAGACCACUUGGUCCAGAGAGAGACUCGCUCAGUUGUACUUGGAUGAGAUAGUGAGGUUGCAUGGCGUGCCCACUUUGAUAGUAUCCGACCGAAACCCGAGAUUCGUCUCGCACUUUUGGAGGUGUCUUCAGACGGCCUUGGGCACUCUGUUGCAGUUCAGCACAGCGCUUCACCCACAGACAGAUGGUCAGUCAGAGCGGACCAUUCAGACUCUAGAGGACAUGCUGAGGGCCUGUGUCCUAGACUUUGGAAGAGGGUGGUAUCGGCAUUUGAGACUGGUUGAGUUUGCGUACAACAACAGCUAUCAAGCGAGCAUCCAGAUGGCUCCGUUUAAGGUGUUGUAUGAAAGCAGAUGUCAAUCCCCUUUGUUUUGGAGUGAUGUGGGUGAGAGGAGGACGCUUGGGCCUGAGAUUCUGAUUGACGCUGAGGAAAAGGUAAAGAAGGCGCGACGGCACAUGUUAGCAGCCCAGAGUCGACAGAGGAGCUAUGCUGAUACUCGGAGACGAGACUUGGAGUUCCAGGUGGGAGAUUGUUUUUCUUAAAGUCUCGCCGUCCAGAGGGAUUCGCCGAUUUGGAGUACGUGAAAAGCUCAGUCCACGUUUUGUAGGCCCUUUCGAAGUAUUGGAGCAAGUCGGGCCAGUGGCUUACAGGAUUGCUCUACUACCAAGACUAGCCGGCAUUCACGAUGUCUUCCACGUCUCGGCUUUGAGGAAAUAUGUGUUCGACCCCUCCCACGUGAUUGACUUCACUCCGCUUGAGAUUGGCAUGGACCUGAGUUACGAGGAACGACCGGUGUGGAUUCUGGCUCGUGAGUCGAGGAAAUUGCGCAACCGGGUCAUACCCUUUGUAAAGGUGCAAUGGAAUAAUCACGAGGAGCGGGAGGCGACUUGGGAGCCGGAGACGGAGAUGAAGGAGUCCUACCCCUACCUAUUUGAAACUCGGGAUUGAGGUAUGUAUUCAGUUUCGCGGAUGAAACUUUUUGUAGUGGGGGAGGAUGUAGUGUUCCUGAGCUUUGGAUAGGAUUGGCUUCAGUAUUAGUGACUGGUCGAUAUCUCUGGAGAGUGUCGGACUGAGUCGAAGUCAAUUCUGUGCGAAUUGGAUGCAGAAUUGGACUCGGUGCACUCAAAUAAGCAAAACUAAAGUUUUGCGAGAUCCGGGCGCCCAGAACAUGGUUUAGGUCGCCCAGAACUGAGUGUUAAAAUUUAACUGAAACUGGAGCCAAUUCGGAUCCUAUGUUCCGGGCGCCCAGAAGUGGGUCCGAAAAUUCUACAUCGUGAAUAUCGUUUGCUUCGACGCGUGGCAGGGUGGUAGGUGAGGUCCGCCGAAGCCGUUUACGGGCGCAGCACACCGCGAGCCGAGAAUCCGAGGAGGAUGAUUUGUGCAGCCUGGAUGUUUCAGUCGCCCAGAACAUGGUUCCGGGCGCCCAGAACAUGGUUCCGGGCGCCCAGAAAUGCCCAUUUCAGCAGGGACACCGGAUUGCAGCUGUUUCUCUUGGGGCUUAUUUUAUCCCUCCAGCACCCUAUAAAUACCUGGUAUACGUCCCCUUUGAGAUCUUUUUACCUGUUCUUCACAGAGAACUUAGAUUUUGCUCCUUAAUCCCUCCAAUCUUUCCAAAUUGCAUCAAGAUCCACAUCUCCAAGAGUUGCGAGGUACUGAUUCUGUAGUUUUCCCAGCGACGACCUUCAGUGUUUUGGCUUGUGCGCGACGUAGGGAUAUCGGAUUUUGACGAAACUUGGUUUGCUAGAUUCUAGACUUUCAGAGGAAUCCACGAAGCCCUGACUUGCAGAAUUUAGUGAAGGUUAGCUCAGUCGAACUCAGGUUUUCCUCUGCUGCUGUUGAUAUGGACAGAAUUGCAUGUUUUUGAGUUUUCUUGGGGUGAACUUUGGAAGCCGGGGCUUUGUGGAGUUGAGUCACAUCCCC
RNAcentral lists this long non-coding RNA (7814 nucleotides) under Ananas comosus (pineapple). RNAcentral describes it as "long non-coding RNA (ACOM_LNC020819)". Lineage: Eukaryota; Viridiplantae; Streptophyta; Magnoliopsida; Poales; Bromeliaceae. The record is from RNAcentral.